This 2638-nucleotide ribosomal RNA is filed under the name Escherichia coli. RNAcentral describes it as "partial 23S ribosomal RNA". It matches the Rfam family "Bacterial large subunit ribosomal RNA", at positions 296 to 2925 of the family's 2925-position model. The record is from RNAcentral. Lineage: Bacteria; Pseudomonadati; Pseudomonadota; Gammaproteobacteria; Enterobacterales; Enterobacteriaceae.
CCCAGAGCCUGAAUCAGUGUGUGUGUUAGUGGAAGCGUCUGGAAAGGCGCGCGAUACAGGGUGACAGCCCCGUACACAAAAAUGCACAUACUGUGAGCUCGAUGAGUAGGGCGGGACACGUGGUAUCCUGUCUGAAUAUGGGGGGACCAUCCUCCAAGGCUAAAUACUCCUGACUGACCGAUAGUGAACCAGUACCGUGAGGGAAAGGCGAAAAGAACCCCGGCGAGGGGAGUGAAAAAGAACCUGAAACCGUGUACGUACAAGCAGUGGGAGCCUCUUAAUGGGGUGACUGCGUACCUUUUGUAUAAUGGGUCAGCGACUUAUAUUCUGUAGCAAGGUUAACCGAAUAGGGGAGCCGAAGGGAAACCGAGUCUUAACUGGGCGUUAAGUUGCAGGGUAUAGACCCGAAACCCGGUGAUCUAGCCAUGGGCAGGUUGAAGGUUGGGUAACACUAACUGGAGGACCGAACCGACUAAUGUUGAAAAAUUAGCGGAUGACUUGUGGCUGGGGGUGAAAGGCCAAUCAAACCGGGAGAUAGCUGGUUCUCCCCGAAAGCUAUUUAGGUAGCGCCUCGUGAAUUCAUCUCCGGGGGUAGAGCACUGUUUCGGCAAGGGGGUCAUCCCGACUUACCAACCCGAUGCAAACUGCGAAUACCGGAGAAUGUUAUCACGGGAGACACACGGCGGGUGCUAACGUCCGUCGUGAAGAGGGAAACAACCCAGACCGCCAGCUAAGGUCCCAAAGUCAUGGUUAAGUGGGAAACGAUGUGGGAAGGCCCAGACAGCCAGGAUGUUGGCUUAGAAGCAGCCAUCAUUUAAAGAAAGCGUAAUAGCUCACUGGUCGAGUCGGCCUGCGCGGAAGAUGUAACGGGGCUAAACCAUGCACCGAAGCUGCGGCAGCGACACUAUGUGUUGUUGGGUAGGGGAGCGUUCUGUAAGCCUGUGAAGGUGUACUGUGAGGUAUGCUGGAGGUAUCAGAAGUGCGAAUGCUGACAUAAGUAACGAUAAAGCGGGUGAAAAGCCCGCUCGCCGGAAGACCAAGGGUUCCUGUCCAACGUUAAUCGGGGCAGGGUGAGUCGACCCCUAAGGCGAGGCCGAAAGGCGUAGUCGAUGGGAAACAGGUUAAUAUUCCUGUACUUGGUGUUACUGCGAAGGGGGGACGGAGAAGGCUAUGUUGGCCGGGCGACGGUUGUCCCGGUUUAAGCGUGUAGGCUGGUUUUCCAGGCAAAUCCGGAAAAUCAAGGCUGAGGCGUGAUGACGAGGCACUACGGUGCUGAAGCGACAAAUGCCCUGCUUCCAGGAAAAGCCUCUAAGCAUCAGGUAACAUCAAAUCGUACCCCAAACCGACACAGGUGGUCAGGUAGAGAAUACCAAGGCGCUUGAGAGAACUCGGGUGAAGGAACUAGGCAAAAUGGUGCCGUAACUUCGGGAGAAGGCACGCUGAUAUGUAGGUGAAGCGACUUGCUCGUGGAGCUGAAAUCAGUCGAAGAUACCAGCUGGCUGCAACUGUUUAUUAAAAACACAGCACUGUGCAAACACGAAAGUGGACGUAUACGGUGUGACGCCUGCCCGGUGCCGGAAGGUUAAUUGAUGGGGUUAGCGGUAACGCGAAGCUCUUGAUCGAAGCCCCGGUAAACGGCGGCCGUAACUAUAACGGUCCUAAGGUAGCGAAAUUCCUUGUCGGGUAAGUUCCGACCUGCACGAAUGGCGUAAUGAUGGCCAGGCUGUCUCCACCCGAGACUCAGUGAAAUUGAACUCGCUGUGAAGAUGCAGUGUACCCGCGGCAAGACGGAAAGACCCCGUGAACCUUUACUAUAGCUUGACACUGAACAUUGAGCCUUGAUGUGUAGGAUAGGUGGGAGGCUUUGAAGUGUGGACGCCAGUCUGCAUGGAGCCGACCUUGAAAUACCACCCUUUAAUGUUUGAUGUUCUAACGUGGGCCCCUUACCGGGGUUGCGGACAGUGUCUGGUGGGUAGUUUGACUGGGGCGGUCUCCUCCUAAAGAGUAACGGAGGAGCACGAAGGUUGGCUAAUCCUGGUCGGACAUCAGGAGGUUAGUGCAAUGGCAUAAGCCAGCUUGACUGCGAGCGUGACGGCGCGAGCAGGUGCGAAAGCAGGUCAUAGUGAUCCGGUGGUUCUGAAUGGAAGGGCCAUCGCUCAACGGAUAAAAGGUACUCCGGGGAUAACAGGCUGAUACCGCCCAAGAGUUCAUAUCGACGGCGGUGUUUGGCACCUCGAUGUCGGCUCAUCACAUCCUGGGGCUGAAGUAGGUCCCAAGGGUAUGGCUGUUCGCCAUUUAAAGUGGUACGCGAGCUGGGUUUAGAACGUCGUGAGACAGUUCGGUCCCUAUCUGCCGUGGGCGCUGGAGAACUGAGGGGGGCUGCUCCUAGUACGAGAGGACCGGAGUGGACGCAUCACUGGUGUUCGGGUUGUCAUGCCAAUGGCACUGCCCGGUAGCUAAAUGCGGAAGAGAUAAGUGCUGAAAGCAUCUAAGCACGAAACUUGCCCCGAGAUGAGUUCUCCCUGACUCCUUGAGAGUCCUGAAGGAACGUUGAAGACGACGACGUUGAUAGGCCGGGUGUGUAAGCGCAGCGAUGCGUUGAGCUAACCGGUACUAAUGAACCGUGAGGCUUAACCUU